RNAcentral lists this transfer RNA (72 nucleotides) under Urocitellus parryii (Arctic ground squirrel). Its description in RNAcentral is "Spermophilus parryii (Arctic ground squirrel) tRNA". It matches the Rfam family "tRNA". From Rfam's summary of the family: Transfer RNA (tRNA) molecules are approximately 80 nucleotides in length. Their secondary structure includes four short double-helical elements and three loops (D, anti-codon, and T loops). The record is from Rfam by way of RNAcentral. RNAcentral also lists the same sequence under 2 other names. Lineage: Eukaryota; Metazoa; Chordata; Mammalia; Rodentia; Sciuridae.
UGUGUUAGAGCUCAGUGGUAGAGCACUCACCUAGAACAUGUGAAGCACUGGGUUCAAUCCUCAGCACCACAU